This 438-nucleotide ribosomal RNA is filed under the name uncultured bacterium. RNAcentral describes it as "bacterial SSU rRNA". It matches the Rfam family "Bacterial small subunit ribosomal RNA", at positions 958 to 1399 of the family's 1533-position model. The record is from RNAcentral.
AACGCGAAGAACCUUACCUGGGCUUGACAUGCGGGUUAAGGCGUGGAGACACGCUGACCUUCGGGUCCCGCACAGGUGGUGCAUGGCUGUCGUCAGCUCGUGUCGUGAGAUGUUGGGUUAAGUCCCGCAACGAGCGCAACCCUUGUCCUAUGUUGCCAGCGGGUAAUGCCGGGGACUCGUAGGAGACUGCCGGGGUCAACUCGGAGGAAGGUGGGGACGACGUCAAGUCAUCAUGCCCCUUACGUCCAGGGCUGCACACAUGCUACAAUGGCCGGUACAAAGGGCUGCUAUCCCGCGAGGGUGAGCGAAUCCCAAAAAGCCGGUCUCAGUUCGGAUUGCAGUCUGCAACUCGACUGCAUGAAGUCGGAGUCGCUAGUAAUCCCGGAUCAGCAACGCCGGGGUGAAUACGUUCCCGGGCCUUGUACACACCGCUCGCGA